This 330-nucleotide ribosomal RNA is filed under the name uncultured crenarchaeote. Its description in RNAcentral is "bacterial SSU rRNA". It matches the Rfam family "Archaeal small subunit ribosomal RNA", at positions 101 to 413 of the family's 1478-position model. The record is from RNAcentral. Lineage: Archaea; Thermoproteati; Thermoproteota.
UAGUCAACCUCGCCUGGAGACCAGAAUAACCCCGGGAAACUGGGAUUAAUACUGGAUAGGUCAUCUCAUCUGGAAGGAGAGAUGGCUUAAAGGGGUGUGUGAGCUUCUUUCAUACAGCUGCUCCAGGAUGGGACUGCGACUGAUCAGGCUGUUGGCGGGGUAAUGGCCCACCAAACCAGUAACCAGUACGGGCCUUGAGAGAGGGGGCCCGGAGAUGGACACUGAGAGAAGGGUCCAGGUCCUACGGGGCGCAGCAGGCGCGAAACCUUCGCAAUGCGCGAAAGCGUGACGAGGUUAAUCCGAGUGGUUCCCGCUGAGGGAAUCUUUUGU